AUUGAACGCUGGCGGCAGGCCUAACACAUGCAAGUCGAGCGGAUGAAGGGAGUUUGCUCCUGGAUUCAGCGGCGGACGGGUGAGUAAUGCCUAGGAAUCUGCCUGGUAGUGGGGGAUAACGUCCGGAAACGGGCGCUAAUACCGCAUACGUCCUGAGGGAGAAAGUGGGGGAUCUUCGGACCUCACGCUAUCAGAUGAGCCUAGGUCGGAUUAGCUAGUUGGUGGGGUAAAGGCCUACCAAGGCGACGAUCCGUAACUAGUCUGAGAGGAUGAUCAGUCACACUGGAACUGAGACACGGUCCAGACUCCUACGGGAGGCAGCAGUGGGGAAUAUUGGACAAUGGGCGAAAGCCUGAUCCAGCCAUGCCGCGUGUGUGAAGAAGGUCUUCGGAUUGUAAAGCACUUUAAGUUGGGAGGAAGGGCAGUAAGUUAAUACCUUGCUGUUUUGACGUUACCAACAGAAUAAGCACCGGCUAACUUCGUG
Molecule: ribosomal RNA, 484 nt
Filed under: uncultured bacterium
Lineage: Bacteria
Description: partial 16S ribosomal RNA
Rfam family: Bacterial small subunit ribosomal RNA
Source: RNAcentral